CAACGCCGGAAAGAUGUUACAAGUUACUGGUAGGCGCCCCGAGAUGGGGCGCGCCGCUUCGCAGUGGCCGUCGGCUGAGCGCCGUAGGCCGCCGCGGGCGGCAAUCCGCUUUCCCCCUCUUCGUUCCCCAGGGCACCCGUCGACCGCACCGUUCCACGCUGUGGGUGGUGUGGCCUAGGGGCCCCAGGAGGAGGACCCGGCCGCGCAGCUUCUCCCAUUCGGCGUCCGCUGCACGGGGGUUAUCUCCCGCUGCUCAGGUGGUAGGACUUGCCAUCGGCCAGUCGCCCACAGAGCCCAUCCGUCGGCGGAGGGAGGACGAGCCUCCCGCCGCCAUUGGGCAUCCCCAGUACGCCGUACAGCGCAGAGGCUGCCGGCUUCGUGGGGGGCGAUUCCCCCCGGAGACUCUCCCGCGGCGAUGACCAGAGGCCUACAAGCCGUAGAAGGAGCCCCGCAGAGGGUCUCUGCAAGAUAAGGUACAUUUCCUACCGCACAGGGCGGCAGGUUCGAGAUUUGUGCGCUGGAACGCCGCCUUAAAGGCAGCGCCCGGCGGGCGGCACUCGCUUCAGCUGUUUUUACUUGCUUUCACGCUUGCCCCCUCUCACAUACCCUCCGACCCCUCUUUAGCCCGGGCCACGCCACGCGGGCUUCCGGGGGCCACUUUUUAUUUU
This 668-nucleotide ribosomal RNA is filed under the name Geosmithia sp. PAT 194. RNAcentral describes it as "partial 28S ribosomal RNA". Lineage: Eukaryota; Fungi; Ascomycota; Sordariomycetes; Hypocreales; Bionectriaceae. The record is from RNAcentral.